UACAUCAGCGGCAGACGGGUGAGUAACACGUAGGUGAUCUACCCCAGAGACGGGGAUACGGCGUGGAACAUCCGCUAAUACCGGAUAGACUUGUUCGGUCACAGGGACAAGGAAAGGCUCCGGCGCUCUGGGAGGAGCCUGCGGCCCAUCAGCUAGUUGGCGGGGUAACGGCCCAGCAAGGCAAAGACGGGUAGGGCGUGUGAGAGCAUGGCCCCCCACAAUGAGACUGUAACACGGCCCAUAGUCCUACGGGAGGCAGCAGCAGGCAAUAUUGCACAAUGGACGGAAGUCUGAUGCAGCGACGCCGCGUGGAUGAAGAAGGCCCUCGGGUUGUAAAAUCCUUGACAGCGGGAAGAGGAAGGACGGUACCCCUGGAACAAGUGUCGGCUAACUACGUGCCAGCAGCCGAGGUAAGACGUAGGAGACAAGCGUUAUCCGGACUUACUGGGCGUAAAGCGUCUGCAGGCGGACAGGUAAGUUGGGCGUGAAAGCUCCGGGCCCAACCCGGAGAGGUCGUUCAAUACGCAUUUCUAGAGGUGUCAAAGCGGAGUGAAUUUUCGGAGUACCGCUAAAGGCGCAGAGAUCGGGAAGAACACCAAUGCCGAAGGCAGCUCCCUGGUGCAAACCCUGACAGCUAAAGAGACGAAAGCUUAGGCGGAGCGCACAGGACUUAGAGACACCUGGUAGUUCCUAGCCCUAACCGAAUGGGAAUGCUGGAUUUGGGGCCCAAUAGCGCUCCGUGUCCGAAGCGAACGCGUUAAGCAUCCCCGCAUGGGGACUACGGCCGCAAGGUUAAAACUCAAACGAAUUGACGGGACCCUCGCUACAAGCACCGGAGCGUGUGGUUUAACUUCGAUGCUAAACGAAGAACCUUACCUGGGUUUGACAUCUAGGUCGGUAAUGAAGCGAAAGCGGAGCGACCACUUCGGGGAGCCUAGAUCAGCUGCUGCAUGUCUGUCGUCAGCUCGUGCCGUGAGGUGUCGGGUUAAGUCCCGUAACGAGCGCAACACCUUGCCCUCCGUUAUACGUGUCAGAGGGGACUCCCUGUCGGUAAGCCGGAGGAAGGUGGGGAUGACGUCAAGUCAGCAUGGCACUUUAUAUCCAGGGCUACACACACGCUACAAUGGCCAGUACAA
Molecule: ribosomal RNA, 1136 nt
Filed under: uncultured organism
Description: bacterial SSU rRNA
Rfam family: Bacterial small subunit ribosomal RNA
Source: RNAcentral